This is a long non-coding RNA of Drosophila persimilis, 702 nucleotides long. RefSeq lists it as uncharacterized. NCBI's taxonomy places the organism in Eukaryota, Metazoa, Arthropoda, Insecta, Diptera, Drosophilidae. The transcript has 4 exons. The record is from RefSeq and is a predicted model, not a curated record.
GGGGUCUGAAUCUGAAUCCGCGUGUUUUUCGCCUUGAAUCGUUGUUGUACCAGUUACCGCCUUGACCGCCCACCCGGCACCGUUUCCCCCUCCGGUGUCCCACCCAACCAACCCACUGUCCAACCGUCCAACGCGACGCCUACGCGCGCGACAAGUGAAGCGCACAGGUAUUUGCGCUUGUAUUGUGUACUUUCUGUGCCUGUGUGUGCGUGAUUUUCCUUUUGUUUGCGGCCCAAUUGUUUGUCGUAAUUGAAUGCUAGUCGCAGUCGCUAAGAGAAUUGCGAAAAACGCAAUAGAAAAAAAAACAUAUUGGAAAAAAGGUACAAAAACCAAUACCCACACACACACACACACACAUCGAUAAGAAGAGCAGAGCAGUGGCAGAAGCAGCAUUUUAAGAAGCAUAUAAAAACCAGUUUUCGAGCAGAAGCAGCAGCGCAGUCGCAGCGGCCAAACUGAGUUUCUAUGGACUUUCAUUGGUUUCUAUCUGGAUAAUCUACCCAGACAACAGAUUUUGAGAACUUUCGCAGAGCCCCUAAGUGACAGCAAAAAUCAUCGCAGAAGAAAUAAACCAAAACGAAACGAAACGAAUAAAUAGUUUAUUUUGAUACCCAAGCCCCGGAACUAUAUGAGAGGUACGAGAGCUACGAGAGCCAUGAUGCCGACCACCGAAUCGAGGCACAGCGGAUGGGCUGUCCUGGC